UGGGGAAUAUUGCACAAUGGGCGCAAGCCUGAUGCAGCCAUGCCGCGUGUGUGAAGAAGGCCUUCGGGUUGUAAAGCACUUUCAGCGGGGAGGAAGGCGUUAAGGUUAAUAACCUUGGCGAUUGACGUUACCCGCAGAAGAAGCACCGGCUAACUCCGCGCCAGCAGCCGCGGUAAUACGGAGGGUGCAAGCGUUAAUCGGAAUUACUGGGCGUAAAGCGCACGCAGGCGGUCUGUCAAGUCGGAUGUGAAAUCCCCGGGCUCAACCUGGGAACUGCAUUCGAAACUGGCAGGCUAGAGGCUUGUAGAGGGGGGUAGAAUUCCAGGUGUAGCGGUGAAAUGCGUAGAGAUCUGGAGGAAUACCGGUGGGGAAGGCGGCCCCCUGGACAAAGACUGACGCUCAGGUGCGAAAGCGUAGGGAGCAAACAGG
This 429-nucleotide ribosomal RNA is filed under the name Chloroflexota bacterium. RNAcentral's name for it is "Chloroflexi bacterium partial 16S ribosomal RNA". It matches the Rfam family "Bacterial small subunit ribosomal RNA", at positions 355 to 776 of the family's 1533-position model. Lineage: Bacteria; Bacillati; Chloroflexota. The record is from RNAcentral.